RNAcentral lists this long non-coding RNA (233 nucleotides) under Elaeis guineensis (African oil palm). Its description in RNAcentral is "long non-coding RNA (EGUI_LNC068637)". Lineage: Eukaryota; Viridiplantae; Streptophyta; Magnoliopsida; Arecales; Arecaceae. The record is from RNAcentral.
AGUUGGAGAAGAAUGAGUCGCUAAAUUUCAAUUUAGCAAAACCUUGGCCAGGGUAAUCCAUCAGAUGGAUUUGAUAUUUUGAAAUACAAUAUGGACAACCUGAUCAGAGUUGACAGUUGAACUCUGGGGUGUCCUAUAAUCAUUUUGGUCAAGGGGAUGAAUUAUAUGAAAACUAUAUCCGCAUGGGUUCUAAGGAUGUUCUACACAUUCGACCUAUCCGGUCGUCGGGUACC